UUGUAGAUUAGAAUUGAAUGUGUGG
This 25-nucleotide non-coding RNA is filed under the name Cricetulus griseus (Chinese hamster). The record is from RNAcentral. Lineage: Eukaryota; Metazoa; Chordata; Mammalia; Rodentia; Cricetidae.